UGGGGAAUAUUGCACAAUGGGCGAAAGUCUGACGGAGCAACGCCGCGUGAGUGAAGAAGGUUUUCGGAUCGUAAAACUCUGUCUUUUGGGGCGAACGUGAGUAUGGUGAACAAUCAUAGUCAGUGACGGUACCAAAGGAGGAAGCCACGGCUAACUACGUGCCAGCAGCCGCGGUAAUACGUAGGUGGCAAGCGUUGUCCGGAAUUAUUGGGCGUAAAGAGCGCGUAGGCGGGAUAGUCAGUCUGUUGUAAAAGUGCGGGGCUCAACCCCGUGAUGGCAAUGGAAACAGCUAUUCUUGAGUGCAGGAGAGGAAAGUGGAAUUCCCAGUGUAGCGGUGAAAUGCGUAGAUAUUGGGAGGAACACCAGUGGCGAAGGCGACUUUCUGGACUGUGUCUGACGCUGAGGCGCGAAAGCCAGGGGAGCGAACGGGAUUAGAUACCCCGGUAGUCCUGGCCGUAAACGAUGGGUACUAGGUGUGGGGGGUAUCGACCCCUUCCGUGCCGGAGUUAACGCAAUAAGUACCCCGCCUGGGGAGUACGGUCGCAAGACUGAAACUUAAAUGAAUUGAC
This 569-nucleotide ribosomal RNA is filed under the name uncultured bacterium. RNAcentral's name for it is "partial 16S ribosomal RNA". It matches the Rfam family "Bacterial small subunit ribosomal RNA", at positions 355 to 914 of the family's 1533-position model. The record is from RNAcentral.